This 162-nucleotide unclassified non-coding RNA is filed under the name uncultured Ascomycota. RNAcentral describes it as "sequence contains ITS1". The record is from RNAcentral. Lineage: Eukaryota; Fungi; Ascomycota.
CAGAGUUAUCCAACUCCCAAAACCAUGUGAACUUACCUAUGUUGCCUCGGCGGGAAAGCCUACCCGGCAGCUACCCUGUAGUUGCAAGGCCUACCCGCCGGCGGACCAUCCAAACUCUUGUCUUUAUAUUGGCACUUCUGAGUUAUUAUACUUAAUAAGUUA